AGUGAACGCUGGCGGUAGGCCUAACACAUGCGAGUCGAACGGCAGCACAGUAAGAGCUUGCUCUUACGGGUGGCGAGUGGCGGACGGGUGAGGAAUACAUCGGAAUCUACUUUUUCGUGGGGGAUAACGUAGGGAAACUUACGCUAAUACCGCAUACGACCUACGGGUGAAAGCAGGGGAUCUUCGGACCUUGCGCGAUUGGAUGAGCCGAUGUCGGAUUAGCUAGUUGGCGGGGUAAAGGCCCACCAAGGCGACGAUCCGUAGCUGGUCUGAGAGGAUGAUCAGCCACACUGGAACUGAGACACGGUCCAGACUCCUACGGGAGGCAGCAGUGGGGAAUAUUGGACAAUGGGCGCAAGCCUGAUCCAGCCAUACCGCGUGGGUGAAGAAGGCCUUCGGGUUGUAAAGCCCUUUUGUUGGGAAAGAAAAGCAGCAGGUUAAUACCCCGCUGUUCUGACGGUACCCAAAGAAUAAGCACCGGCUAACUUCGUG
This 492-nucleotide ribosomal RNA is filed under the name uncultured bacterium. RNAcentral describes it as "partial 16S ribosomal RNA". It matches the Rfam family "Bacterial small subunit ribosomal RNA", at positions 29 to 507 of the family's 1533-position model. The record is from RNAcentral.